Triticum aestivum (bread wheat) is the source of this 135-nucleotide non-coding RNA. The record is from Rfam. Lineage: Eukaryota; Viridiplantae; Streptophyta; Magnoliopsida; Poales; Poaceae.
UGAGUACUCCCUCCGUUCGGAAAUACUUGUCAUCAAAAUGAAUAAAAAGGGAUAUAUCUAGAUGUAUUUUAGUUCUAGAUACAUUCCCUUUUAUCCAUUUUGAUGACAAGUAUUUUCGGACGGAGGGAGUACAUC